ACAAGACAGCAGUGGAUACUUUUUGAUU
RNAcentral lists this small RNA (28 nucleotides) under Bombyx mori (domestic silkworm). RNAcentral's name for it is "ovarian small RNA-10942". Lineage: Eukaryota; Metazoa; Arthropoda; Insecta; Lepidoptera; Bombycidae. The record is from RNAcentral.